UACGUAGGGGGCAAGCGUUGUCCGGAAUCAUUGGGCGUAAAGAGCGUGUAGGCGGCCCGAUAAGUCCGCCGUGAAAGUCCAGGGCUCAACCCUGGGAUGCCGGUGGAAACUGUCGGGCUAGAGUCCGGAAGAGGCGAGUGGAAUUCCUGGUGUAGCGGUGAAAUGCGCAGAUAUCAGGAAGAACACCAAUGGCGAAGGCAGCUCUCUGGGACGGUACUGACGCUGAGACGCGAAAGCGUGGGGAGCGAACAGG
Molecule: ribosomal RNA, 253 nt
Filed under: uncultured bacterium
Lineage: Bacteria
Description: partial 16S ribosomal RNA
Rfam family: Bacterial small subunit ribosomal RNA
Source: RNAcentral